AGAGUUUGAUCCUGGCUCAGAACGUACGCUGGCGGCACGCCUAACACAUGCAAGUCGAACGAAGUAGCAAUACUUAGUGGCAGACGGGUGAGUAACAUGUAGGUAUCUACCCUUUGGCCUGGAAUAACACGAGGAAACUUGUGCUAAUACCGGAUAAGUCUUUACGGAGAAAGCUUUAUGCACCAUUGGAUGAGCCUGCACUUGAUUAGUUUGUUGGUGGGGUAAUGGCCUACCAAGACUUUGAUCAAUAGCUGAUUUGAGAGGAUGAUCAGCCACAUUGGGACUGAGACACGGCCCAAACUCCUACGGGAGGCAGCAGUGGGGAAUCUUGCACAAUGGAGGAAACUCUGAUGCAGCGAUGCCGCGUGAGUGAAGAAGGCCCUUGGGUUGUAAAGCUCUUUCGUCGGGGAAGAAAAUGACUGUACCCGAAUAAGAAGGUCCGGCUAACUUCGUGCCAGCAGCCGCGGUAAUACGAAGGGACCUAGCGUAGUUCGGAAUUACUGGGCUUAAAGAGUUCGUAGGUGGUUGAAAAAGUUGGUGGUGAAAUCCCAGAGCUUAACUCUGGAACUGCCAUCAAAACUUUUCAGCUAGAGUUUGAUAGAGGAAAGCAGAAUUUCUAGUGUAGAGGUGAAAUUCGUAGAUAUUAGAAAGAAUACCAAUUGCGAAGGCAGCUUUCUGGAUCAUUACUGACACUGAGGAACGAAAGCAUGGGUAGCGAAGAGGAUUAGAUACCCUCGUAGUCCAUGCCGUAAACGAUGUGUGUUAGACGUUGGAAAUUUAUUUUCAGUGUCGCAGCGAAAGCGAUAAACACACCGCCUGGGGAGUACGACCGCAAGGUUAAAACUCAAAUGAAUUGACGGGGACCCGCACAAGUAGUGGAGCAUGUGGUUUAAUUCGAAGAUACGCGCAGAACCUUACCAACACUUGACAUGUUCGUCGCGACUUUAAGAGAUUAAAGUUUUCGGUUCGGCCGGACGAAACACAGGUGCUGCAUGGCUGUCGUCAGCUCGUGUCGUGAGAUGUUGGGUUAAGUCCCGCAACGAGCGCAACCCUCACUUUUAGUUGCCAUCAUUUAGUUGGGCACUCUGAAAGAACUGCCAGUGAUAAGCUGGAGGAAGGUGGGGAUGACGUCAAGUCCUCAUGGCCCUUACGUGUUGGGCUACACACGUGCUACAAUGGUAUCUACAACAGGAAGCAAGACGGCGACGUUAAGCAAAUCCUUAAAAGAUACCUCAGUUCGGAUUGUACUCUGCAACUCGAGUACAUGAAGCUGGAAUUACUAGUAAUCGUGGAUCAGCGUGCCACGGUGAAUGCGUUCCCGGGUCUUGUACACACCGCCCGU
Molecule: ribosomal RNA, 1342 nt
Filed under: uncultured Pelagibacterales bacterium
Lineage: Bacteria; Pseudomonadati; Pseudomonadota; Alphaproteobacteria; Candidatus Pelagibacterales
Description: bacterial SSU rRNA
Rfam family: Bacterial small subunit ribosomal RNA
Source: RNAcentral